UACUAAAGAAUAUUUCUACGUGGUCCUG
This 28-nucleotide small RNA is filed under the name Bombyx mori (domestic silkworm). Its description in RNAcentral is "ovarian small RNA-6149". The record is from RNAcentral. Lineage: Eukaryota; Metazoa; Arthropoda; Insecta; Lepidoptera; Bombycidae.